RNAcentral lists this long non-coding RNA (375 nucleotides) under Equus asinus (donkey). RNAcentral describes it as "lncRNA (ENSEASG00005025038.1)". The record is from RNAcentral. Lineage: Eukaryota; Metazoa; Chordata; Mammalia; Perissodactyla; Equidae.
GUGCAGACCUCGAGUCAGCUGAAUCUGGACACAAAUUAAUGGUGUGGCUGCAGCAAAACAACCAAAGCAAGUGUAAUCUCCAGAAUUGAGGUUCAACAGUGAGUCUGAAAGCCCGACCCGGAUUCUCACAGCAGGGAAGCCCGAUGGUGGAGCCCGUGCCCUCAGCAGGAAGAGGAAGACGGCCCAGGAAGGACCCUUAAGAUGGAGAGAAAAUCAGCUGAGCUCUGCUAAAAUCUCUUCUGCUGGAGGCGCGUUAGCCCUUCCCGUUUCCUGGGAGCGACGAGUGAAGCCACGUUCCCCCCACGGUUCCUCCAGAGAAAGGGGGCGGAUUAACCCCAUUGCAGACAUUUAGAGGGACAAUAGGAAACAGGACCA